This 487-nucleotide long non-coding RNA is filed under the name Dasypus novemcinctus (nine-banded armadillo). RNAcentral's name for it is "lncRNA (ENSDNOG00000050237.1)". Lineage: Eukaryota; Metazoa; Chordata; Mammalia; Cingulata; Dasypodidae. The record is from RNAcentral.
AAGGCUCUCCACUGUUUUAUUUCUGUUUGUUUUGCAAAGCAAACACAGGCUAGCCUAACCCUGGCGUUAACUCCUAAAGCUCCCAGGCGUUUCUAGUCGCCUGAAAACAGCCCCUCUCCAAAAAAAAAGAGGUUUCUCUCAGGUUGGAAAUACGUCAUUUCUGUAAAAGCAGCCUCAGGACCCGACGCUGAAACUGUGAUUUUUAUUUUCUAGACUGUGAACUGUUACCUCAUAGACAAUAAUGGAUUUAUUCUGGUGUCUGAAGACUACACAAAGACUGGAGAUUUUUUUGGUGAGGUUGAGGGCGCUGUGAUGAACAAAUUGUUAACAAUGGGCUCCUUUAAAAGAAUUACCCUUUAUGAUUACCAAGCCAUGUGUAGAGCCAACAAGGAAAGCAGCGACGGCGCCCAUGGUCUGCUGGAUGUAAGUAUGGUGCAGUCAGCCAGGAAAUACCAGCGUGUGUCUUUGUCUCUCUGUGUGAGCAUAG